This 480-nucleotide ribosomal RNA is filed under the name Streptomyces sp. RNAcentral's name for it is "bacterial SSU rRNA". It matches the Rfam family "Bacterial small subunit ribosomal RNA", at positions 95 to 589 of the family's 1533-position model. The record is from RNAcentral. Lineage: Bacteria; Bacillati; Actinomycetota; Actinomycetes; Kitasatosporales; Streptomycetaceae.
GUGGCGAACGGGUGAGUAACACGUGGGCAAUCUGCCCUUCACUCUGGGACAAGCCCUGGAAACGGGGUCUAAUACCGGAUAACACUCUGUCCCGCAUGGGACGGGGUUAAAAGCUCCGGCGGUGAAGGAUGAGCCCGCGGCCUAUCAGCUUGUUGGUGGGGUAAUGGCCUACCAAGGCGACGACGGGUAGCCGGCCUGAGAGGGCGACCGGCCACACUGGGACUGAGACACGGCCCAAACUCCUACGGGAGGCAGCAGUGGGGAAUAUUGCACAAUGGGCGAAAGCCUGAUGCACCGACGCCGCGUGAGGGAUGACGGCCUUCGGGUUGUAAACCUCUUUCAACAGGGAAGAAGCGAAAGUGACGGUACCUGCAGAAGAAGCGCCGGCUAACUACGUGCCAGCAGCCGCGGUAAUACGUAGGGCGCAAGCGUUGUCCGGAAUUAUUGGGCGUAAAGAGCUCGUAGGCGGCUUGUCACGUC